GACGAACGCUGGCGGCGUGCCUAAUACAUGCAAGUCGAACGCUUUUUCUUUCACCGGAGCUUGCUCCACCGAAAGAAAAAGAGUGGCGAACGGGUGAGUAACACGUGGGUAACCUGCCCAUCAGAAGGGGAUAACACUUGGAAACAGGUGCUAAUACCGUAUAACACUAUUUUCCGCAUGGAAGAAAGUUGAAAGGCGCUUUUGCGUCACUGAUGGAUGGACCCGCGGUGCAUUAGCUAGUUGGUGAGGUAACGGCUCACCAAGGCAACGAUGCAUAGCCGACCUGGGAGGGUGAUCGGCCACACUGGGACUGAGACACGGCCCAGACUCCUACGGGAGGCAGCAGUAGGGAAUCUUCGGCAAUGGACGAAAGUCUGACCGAGCAACGCCGCGUGAGUGAAGAAGGUUUUCGGAUCGUAAAACUCUGUUGUUAGAGAAGAACAAGGAUGAGAGUAAAAUGUUCAUCCCUUGACGGUAUCUAACCAGAAAGCCACGGCUAACUACGUGCCAGCAGCCGCGGUAAUACGUAGGUGGCAAGCGUUGUCCGGAUUUAUUGGGCGUAAAGCGAGCGCAGGCGGUUUCUUAAGUCUGAUGUGAAAGCCCCCGGCUCAACCGGGGAGGGUCAUUGGAAACUGGGAGACUUGAGUGCAGAAGAGGAGAGUGGAAUUCCAUGUGUAGCGGUGAAAUGCGUAGAUAUAUGGAGGAACACCAGUGGC
This 716-nucleotide ribosomal RNA is filed under the name uncultured Bacilli bacterium. RNAcentral's name for it is "bacterial SSU rRNA". It matches the Rfam family "Bacterial small subunit ribosomal RNA", at positions 28 to 716 of the family's 1533-position model. The record is from RNAcentral. Lineage: Bacteria; Bacillati; Bacillota; Bacilli.